GUGGAGGUGAAUUAGGACUAUGCCAAAAAUAGCUCAAAGGGAUCCACAGGCCACUGUACUCCAAUUAUUGCUGGUGAUUUGAGGAGCAAGGUCUCUCUCUCCCUUUAUUUUUUAUUUUAUUUUUCUUUUAAAAAGAAGGGGUUAUCACCUUAUCUUCUUUAGCUUUGUGGGUGUAGUGCAUCAUCCUCUCAGGAUACCUAAUUAACAAGGGCCCACUUGUUGGAUCAAUUCUCUAAAAUUUUCUGUUAUCUAUCUAGUCAAUAUAUACUGUGGUACGUUUGGAAUGAUUAGGAGAUGUUUGUGUUUCAGACGGAAACAUCUUCGCUUGGACUAGAGGUGAUCACUUGAGAUCAUUACACUCAUAUAUAUAAAUAUAUAUAUAGGAUAAAAAUAAACAAGCAAAGCGUUGAUAAUUUAUGAAAAUAAAACAAGCUUUUCCACUUU
This 444-nucleotide long non-coding RNA is filed under the name Ananas comosus (pineapple). RNAcentral describes it as "long non-coding RNA (ACOM_LNC004345)". Lineage: Eukaryota; Viridiplantae; Streptophyta; Magnoliopsida; Poales; Bromeliaceae. The record is from RNAcentral.